Molecule: transfer-messenger RNA, 399 nt
Filed under: Bacteroidaceae
Lineage: Bacteria; Pseudomonadati; Bacteroidota; Bacteroidia; Bacteroidales
Also listed under: 1 other name
Description: Prevotella sp902797505 Standard tmRNA
Rfam family: transfer-messenger RNA
About the family: Bacterial tmRNA, also known as 10Sa RNA or SsrA, is named for its dual tRNA and mRNA-like properties. Its role is to liberate the mRNA from a stalled ribosome. To accomplish this part of the tmRNA is used as a reading frame that ends in a translation stop signal.
Source: RNAcentral
GGGGUUGACUGGAUUUGACAGCGGGUAGAAAUGGUACGUAAGCACGCGGAGCGUCGGCUGUUUGCUCCUAAAUAUCAGCGGUCAACAAAUUAAUUGGCGAAAACAAUUACGCUCUCGCUGCUUAAUCGAAGUAUAGUAGAUUACGAGCUUAAUUCCGUCACCAGGUGAUGGAACGAGACGUCGCUCAAGGGAUGUUGUCCCGAAUCUCCUUGAAUCAGCGGCGCAGGUAAAUCGGGAAUAGUUCAGGCAGGCCCCGAUGUCUGGAUGAGAUUUAGGGGAUAAGGUUACGGUUGGUGGCUUGGGUCUUGCCGUGGCACGAAAAUGCAGUCCAAGAUAAGCGUGUAGAAAGCGUAUGGUUUCCUCGUGUGGACGAGGGUUCGAAUCCCUCCAGCUCCACCU